This 2119-nucleotide unclassified non-coding RNA is filed under the name Daphnia pulicaria. RNAcentral describes it as "major facilitator superfamily domain-containing protein 6-like, transcript variant X2". Lineage: Eukaryota; Metazoa; Arthropoda; Branchiopoda; Diplostraca; Daphniidae. The record is from RNAcentral.
AAUUAAAGCAUGAAUAAAAGACAUUGAACCAGCCUUACAAUCAAUAAUGGCCAACUUGCUCGGCCGCUACCUCCAGCGCAACGCACGUCAAGAACUGGUGGACUCAUUUGAGGAACGACUACAACAUUAAAAGAAUGAUCCCCGUUUUGUGGAUGGCUUUAGAAGAUGGAUCCGAGGUUGAUCAGAAGUCUAGCGACUUCCAAUGUAGCACUUAUGGUGAAAAACUGAAUCUCCUUCAGACUGUGUAUUCUCAAAACAAUCAAACGAAAAACAACCCGAUCACCCACUAGCCUACCGUACGUGCCGCUCUCAGUGCGUCGUUCAGAUCAACCGCUCCGACCUUUGUUCUGAUAAAGUCCGUGAAGAUGUCGUCAAUUCUCAGCUCACAUUCUGGAUAUACUUGCUGCUUCGUUCCGUCUUUGAAGUGUUCGUCAUAGGAUCUUACACUUUAUUCAAUGGAGCCGCUUUGGUUUUAGUCAACGAAGUCCGUGGUGACUUUGGAUUCCAGAAAAUGUUUGGAUUCAUCGGGUACGCAAUAUUUUCACCAAUAUCCGGAGCCCUGAUGGACCAUUUAAGUACAAAUGAAAAUGAAACAAAUUUCCGGCCGGCGUUCUUUCUAUUUGCUGGUUUAUUUGGUAUUGCAGCUUUUGGAAUGUUAACGAUUGACCUCAAUUUUAAACCUCCAGCGGAAAAGCUGAUGAAAAAUGUGAUAUCUCUGCUGAAAAACAUCGAGCUGGAUGUUCUACUUGCCGUUUGCGUAGCCUCAGGAUUCUUGGUGGGGUGCACGGGAAAUUACUUGUUCUUAUUUUUGGAAGAAAUUGGUGGGACCAGGUCAUUAAUGGGGCUGUCGGUCACUAUCUCUUGUUUAACAGCGAUUCCAUUGCUUCUGUUAUCGGAUACCAUUUUUCGUAAAUUUAGUAUUCCCAACGUUCUCGUCUUUAGCCUUUUUACCUUCGUCAUACGUCUAAUAGGAUAUUCGUACAUCACCGACCCGAACUUGUGUCUCGUAUACGAGUCUAUUGAAGCCAAUAAUGGUGCUCUGUCCCUGACAUCUUUUAUGAUCUAUGCCACCCAACUGGGGACGACGUCCACUGCGACUUCCAUUCAAGGAUUGAUUUCAGCGACCUACUUCGGACUAGGGGCUGGAAUCGGAAGCUCGGUCGGCGGAGUCCUGAUCGGAGCGUUCGGCAAGCGAGUGGUUUUCCGCAUUUUGGGAGUCAUCGCUUUCCUCACUGGAUUCCUCUACUUCCUUUUUAAUAUUUUUUACUUGCGUCCAAAGGCCAAUGAAAAAAUAACACUACCGUUGACAAGACUGAUUCAAGUGUAAACGUGAAGGUCGAAGAAAUUCAGUGACAUUCAACGUCCGUUAGUCUUUUUAUAGCAAACAGCAUCUAAGCAAACUUCUCUCCUAUAAGCCAUUAAAUUGGUCGUUAAUUGACUAACUUUUUGACUAAACAUUUUUUAGCUCAUUUACAGAUUGAAGCCUAUGAAAUAUUUAGAAUUUUAAAGACUAAAAGAAUUUCAGUUAUUGUCAUAAUAAUUUGAUAAAUCAAUAUAUAAGAAGUGUCAGUAUAUUUAUUUUUUGUUUACCCUUUUGACCAAGUGGGUAACAUCGCGUCGCUUCCAUCUUCUAGAAUCCAGUAGUUUUCGGGACUUCCCUGAAUCGGACCAAUCUUCAAUUAGGUAAUAAACAUACCAUUUGCUUCAUUUCAUUAUGUUAUCCGUUUAUCUAAUUCGAGGAACAAGGACAAAAAAUGGGUUACAAAAGCUAUCGGCAGCAGCAGAGCACCCAGACACGUUUGAAUCCAAUUUCCAUUCCUGCAUUGUAACGCCAUCGGUCCUCUUCGGUCCUCUUCGGUCCUCUUCGGUUCACGCCAUCGAUCCUCUUCGGUCCUCGCCAUCGGGCCUCUUCUUUCCUCGCCAACGGCCCUCUUCGGUCCUCACCAUCGCUUCAGGGAAACAUAAACCGGUCACAAAAUCGUGCUUCAAUAAGCUGGAUGGAAUAACGAUGCUUAAAAUAAAAAUGCUAAAGCUAAAAUCACUCGUUUCCUAAAACAUGAAAGAAUUGAUUAAUCGAUUAGACUAUUGCGUGCGAAUUCACCCAACGUGAGUCAUUUUA